This 440-nucleotide ribosomal RNA is filed under the name uncultured bacterium. RNAcentral describes it as "partial 16S ribosomal RNA". It matches the Rfam family "Bacterial small subunit ribosomal RNA", at positions 338 to 795 of the family's 1533-position model. The record is from RNAcentral.
CCUACGGGAGGCAGCAGUGGGGAAUAUUGCACAAUGGGGGAAACCCUGAUGCAGCGACGCCGCGUGAGUGAAGAAGUCUCUCGGUAUGUAAAGCUCUAUCAGCAGGGAAGAAAAUGACGGUACCUGACUAAGACUGCCCGGCUCACUACGUGCCAGCAGCCGCGGUAAAACGUAAGGGGCAAGCGUUAUCCGGAUUUACUGGGUGUAAAGGGAGCGUAGUCGGCGCGGCAGGUUCGUAGGGAAAGCCGAGGGGCUAAACAUGGUACUGCUCGUGAAACUGGGGAGCUUGAGUGCGGGAGGGGCAGGCGGAAUUCCUGGUGUAGCGGUGAAAUGCGUAGAUAUGAGGAGGAACACCGACGGCGAAGGCAGCCUGCUGGACCGUAACUGACGUUGAGGCUCGAAGGCGUGGGUAUCAAACAGGAUUAGAUACCCUUGUAGUC